AAAGCUUGCAUAGAUUGAAGAAAGAAAACUAACAGAUGUUGUAACGUAAUGAAUGAAUGCUGUCGAAAUUUGUUUGUGGAAAAUGACGGUUAUGUCCUUCGGUGGCUGAUUGCUUCAUCGUUAAGGAAAGAGGAGACGCGUGACGUGGAAUGGAAUUUAAGUCCGAUCCAAUAGAAAUGGGCUUAGUGCAGUCGACAUA
Molecule: long non-coding RNA, 199 nt
Filed under: Trifolium pratense (red clover)
Lineage: Eukaryota; Viridiplantae; Streptophyta; Magnoliopsida; Fabales; Fabaceae
Description: long non-coding RNA (TPRA_LNC007986)
Source: RNAcentral